This is a non-coding RNA of Electrophorus electricus (electric eel), 1574 nucleotides long. Lineage: Eukaryota; Metazoa; Chordata; Actinopteri; Gymnotiformes; Gymnotidae. The record is from RefSeq and is a predicted model, not a curated record.
GAUGUCUGUGGAGUGGAACAGGCGGGCUGGUACAGACAGGUCCUGUCCUUACAAACACUCCACUGGCUGUCCCUUCUUGACCAGCAUGACCUGUGAGUCUCCUAGCCAGGCCACAUGUAGAGUACGACCCCGAAGAAAGGUCACAACCCCGGUGGUGCCACAGCGCAGGAGGCCUGAUCUGCUCUCAUCUGGGAGCGAGUGAUGCUUUCAACCAUAGAUGAUAGCAGCACCAAGGCCAGUAGUCCCAGGACAAUGAAGACUUCCAGGCUCCACCAUGGUGACUGCGACCGCGCUAAGAGGUGCAGUCCAUCUGACUCGCAACUGACAGGGAGGCAAAGCUUCCAGUCCACAAGGUCAUGUUUCGCUGGAUAAUAAGGAACUUCUACAGUGUAAAAAGUGUAAAAUCAUAUUCUGGCAGCUAGAGCCCUAUCUGUGCACCUGAGUUUAAAAUUAAUCCAAAUGCCUCCAGAGAUUAAAGUAUCACCAUAAGUCAUGUUUACCACCAAAAAGUAGCAAACAAUACUUACUAUAUAAUAGAGUUAUAAUUAUUUUUUACAUUUUUCAAUAAAGUGCAGCUCACGUGAGAUCAAAUUGCUUUGUUUAUGUUCCAUAGAGCGGGUCCCUCACAUGGAGGUAGCCAUGUUUAAAAUAGACCUAGUGCAGACUCUCUGACACAUCCAGGCCACUAGGUGUCAGUAUAAAGGUUGUUUCAUGAUGUGAAGAAGACCAUUAAAAAAAUUACUUAUUGCUCCUUUAACAGUAAUCCACCAUUAAUCUGCAGAUGAUAUUUGUGUUCGGAUGUGUUGUACUGAGGAUAACGUCAGCAUGUUGUCUUUCUGUGGUCGUCAGCACAGUUACGCAAAUUAUUUCUGACCUGAAGAAAACAAGUCUAAAAGUACUGAAUGAGACAGGACACACAGAGAAUAAAAUGCUAAUCACACACACAUCUGGAGCUCAGCUCUGAGGACAGGGAAGUGGCAAUAUGAAGCGUGACAUCAGAUCAGAUGUUACAUCUCUCUUCGAAUUCGACAGAACGUUGGUCUAGAACAGUAAUGAUCAUUGCCACUUCCAAUUCCUUAGCCAUUUCUAUUCGAAUAUAGAAAGUUAAGAAAGCAAUUCAGGCCAGCGUUAAGUUGGUAAGUGACCUGAAUACACAGUCAAAUAGGAGAGUUUAAAUUGUGCUGAAUGCCCUACAUUCACUGCAAACCCUGGCUGAUUUCGGAGGGCUGUCAGAACUUCAGGGCAGAUUCUCCUCCUGUUCCAGACUUAAACCCAUCUUCUCUCAGGCUGUAAGCGGUGGAGACAGGCUUAUUUCGUAGCGCUCUCCUCGAUAUGAUUCGGGACUUCUGUUUAAUCAUACGUUUGCAUCGAGAGUCCAGUGUUGCUCGGAGGAAAAUGGGCUUCCCCGUUCUGUCUGGCUCUUGCUGAGGUUUCUACCUCAUAUCUGUAGACUGUAAAAUUGCUUUUUGAGAGUGUCUAUUGUAACAGGAGCCCUAAAUAAAUCGGGACAGACCGGAACUCGGCCACAGUGUCCAAAUUACCCAGCAGCGUCAAACACAAUGUCAAACAGUAUU